This 153-nucleotide ribosomal RNA is filed under the name Staphylococcus coagulans. RNAcentral's name for it is "partial 23S ribosomal RNA". It matches the Rfam family "Bacterial large subunit ribosomal RNA", at positions 1 to 153 of the family's 2925-position model. The record is from RNAcentral. Lineage: Bacteria; Bacillati; Bacillota; Bacilli; Caryophanales; Staphylococcaceae.
GAUUAAGUUAUUAAGGGCGCACGGUGGAUGCCUUGGCACUAGAAGCCGAUGAAGGACGUUACUAACGACGAUAUGCUUUGGGGAGCUGUAAGUAAGCUUUGAUCCAGAGAUUUCCGAAUGGGGGAACCCAGCACGAGUUAUGUCGUGUUAUCC